GGGCUGCAGUAUAUUGACUGUACAAAGGUAGCAUAAUCAUUAGUCAUUUAAUUGAUGACUUGUAUGAAAGAUUGGAUGAAAUAUAAACUGUCUCUUAAUUAAUUAUAGAAUUUAAUUUUUUAAUUAAAAAGUUAAAAUGAUUUAAAAAGACGAGAAGACCCUAUAGAGUUUAAUAUUUAAAUUAAUUAAGAUUAUUUAUAAAUUUAUUAAUUAAAAUUAUUUUAUUUAUUUUGUUGGGGUGACAAAAAAAUAUAAAUAACUUUUUUUAUUUAUUUACAUAUAUAAGUGAAUUAAUGAUCCAUUAUUAUUGAUUAUAAGAAAAAAUUACCUUAGGGAUAACAGCGUAAUUUUUUUUUUUAGUUCAAAUAAAAAAAAGAGUUUGCGACCUCGAUGUUGGAUUAAGAUAAAAUUUAAAUG
Molecule: ribosomal RNA, 417 nt
Filed under: Spodoptera cilium
Lineage: Eukaryota; Metazoa; Arthropoda; Insecta; Lepidoptera; Noctuidae
Description: partial 16S ribosomal RNA
Source: RNAcentral